Molecule: ribosomal RNA, 233 nt
Filed under: uncultured bacterium
Lineage: Bacteria
Description: partial 16S ribosomal RNA
Rfam family: Bacterial small subunit ribosomal RNA
Source: RNAcentral
CGACAGGGAGCGAAUCCCAAACCACGUCUCAGUUCGGAUCGGAGUCUGCAACCCGACUCCGUGAAGCUGGAUUCGCUAGUAAUCGCGCAUCAGCCAUGGCGCGGUGAAUACGUUCCCGGGCCUUGUACACACCGCCCGUCAAGCCAUAGGAGCCGGGAGUGCCUGAAGUACGUGACCGCAAGGAGCGUCCUAGGGUAAGACCGGUGACUGGGGCUAAGUCGUAACAAGGUACC